Long non-coding RNA from Perognathus longimembris pacificus (Pacific pocket mouse), 285 nucleotides. RefSeq lists it as uncharacterized. Lineage: Eukaryota; Metazoa; Chordata; Mammalia; Rodentia; Heteromyidae. The transcript has 3 exons. The record is from RefSeq and is a predicted model, not a curated record.
AGCAAUGGGCUUAGCCUGGCAAAGCCAUGGCCAGCCACGAUAGCACCUAGGCCCUUGGUUGGGGGAAAUGGGGGACCCUAUCGGAGAUGCUUUCAUAUGUAUCCAUGUAAAACGAGAUCAUGGAAAGGUAAUGGGAUGGAAGCUGUGUGUUGUGUGCUGAGUCGGGUGGGGCUUCUGACAGCAGGAAGGAACUUAGGUCUGAACAUCUGGAGAAGGGCCAUUGUGUUCAGCAGAACAGCCUGGGUCUUGCCUGUAGCUUCUCAGCCCUGUUUAUAAUUUACUAUG